AAGAAAGUAAGAAAGGGCGUAUGGCGGAUGCCUAGGCUCACGGAGGCGAUGAAGGACGUGAUAAGCUGCGAUAAGCUUCGGGUAGGUGCAAAUAACCUUUGAUCCGGAGAUUUCCGAAUGGGACAACCUAGCCGUCUGAAGGACGGUUACUCUUACCAAUGUAAGAGAGCUAACGCAGGGAACUGAAACAUCUUAGUACCUGCAGGAAGAGAAAAUAAAUGAAUGAUUCCCCCAGUAGUGGCGAGCGAACGGGGAACAGCCCAAACC
RNAcentral lists this ribosomal RNA (267 nucleotides) under Segatella copri. RNAcentral describes it as "partial 23S ribosomal RNA". It matches the Rfam family "Bacterial large subunit ribosomal RNA", at positions 1 to 275 of the family's 2925-position model. The record is from RNAcentral. Lineage: Bacteria; Pseudomonadati; Bacteroidota; Bacteroidia; Bacteroidales; Prevotellaceae.